CUAAAGCAACUACACGUUUUUAACUUUGCGAGGGCCAUGAAAAAUUUGCUAAAUGGCACGCCUUGAGUUCUAAGGAUUUCAAAAGAAAUAUAUAAAUGAGGGCCACACAAUUGUCAUUUAUUUUUGCACGACGCACCUAAUUUAAAUUUAAAAGGGUAUCCAAAGUAGUCUUCGGAGAGUCAUAAACUACUUGUAUUAUAAAAUAUGACUCGUCCAGCAAUAUUAAAGGAAAUUGGCUAAUUGAUUAAAGGGUGUAAGAAAAUCAUGAAGCCUGCUCUACCAAUUCGCGAGGCUGGGGAAUUGGGCCAACGAUGUCCAUCAACGUGAAGGCUCUAAUGUGCAGCAAGAAAAGUGCUUGCAGCAAAGCCCAAUCCCUUUUCUUUAUUUCCAAAUGCCUUCAAGCCUUUGGGUCUGAAUUAUGCCAAAUCCUAUCAAAAGAGAAGACAAUGGUAGGUAGUGCCCAGGGAUCAAAUCCCUGAGGAACUAACAUCAAUUUAAGCUCCCAAAGUCAGGAAUUUUAAUUCAAAGCAUCAUAAAAUCCAAAAAUGCGGCACUAAUUGGCAUAAGCAGGAAUGACUUAAGCCAAUUGAAAUGUAAAGUGCAUAACAAUUUCAGAACAUCUUAUGUUUAAACCAUUGAAACUUUUGAAAGGCAAUUAAGAAGUUUGCUGAAAUAACACAAAAAUCUAGUAGUCACUCAAACAGGAUAGGUUAUUGAAUUCAUAUCUUAUUCAAACUUCAUACUAAAACCUAGUUAAACAUGCUUGAUUUUACUACACACUUUUUCAUAAAACAACCAUCCAAAUCAACCUAAAAUCACUGACAUUUGCAAAUCAGAGCACCUCUUUUACUUUUAGCCAUUCUCAAAGGAGACUUUACCAACAGAAGAAACAACAACCUAAUAGCUUCAGCCUUCAAACACAUGUUCAUUCUUAUCAACAUGAUCAACUAGAAUUGACUUCAACAAACAACUUGAAGGAUUAUUAGACUCCACAUCUCUAUAUGGUAAAUUUUGAUUUCAAACCAAAAAUACUAGUCGACACCUUCAAGCAAUUUUCUCCUGCAAAAUAUUUAACAGUUCAUUCAUACAAAUACAAUUCAAAUACUAUUACAAUGCCAAACAUUUUGAAAUUUAACACUCAAUCUAAAUAGCCAAACCUCCUUAAGCUACUAACAUGAACCAGCAAACAAACACAAACAAGAAACUACUUUACGACAAAACUGAAGAGUUUAAUCACAUAAAACAGCAGAAACUAGCAAUAAUUACAUAAAGAAGAAGUGAGGCUAAUAAAAUACUGCAAAAGUAGAACCCAUCAACAUGAAUUAAACCAGCAAACCAAUCUCAAACCAAGAGAGUGAAGUACAAUAAUCCAGAAAUAAGUCUCAGUAAAACAAUAACCCAAAACACCUCAAACUCAAAUCAAAAUAGGAUUCACACACAAACUUAGCUAAGAAUCAGCUUUCAAAAACAACAAAUUAAACCAUCUUCAAACAUGUAUAAGUAAGAGAUUGCCCCAGAAAUUCAAAACCUCAGUAAUUAAAGCAAGAAAAUCUAUGGAAGAGUAGUUUUUGAUCCAAUUUUCAGCUGUUUUUAUUUUUAUGGACUUGUAUCCCUUCCCAGUCCCCUUAAAAUACAAGGAAGAGAUGCCUCUAUAGGCAAGGAAGUAGGGCAUUACCAAUGUCACUAUGUUUUAACCCUAAUCCUUUUCAUAUUUUUAUUUUUGCUCAACUUCCCCUAAUAUAAUUAUAAAUUUAUCAAAAACAGCCUCCACCGUGCUUCCUUGGCGCUUCUAUUUCAGUUAACAAAGAUUCCCCUAAGCAAUUACCCAAAAAUACCCUUGACAGCCCUGUUAUUUACUCUCAGCAAAUUACCUAGGUCAAGUAGACCCAUUGUUUCCAUUCUAACUAUGGGCUGACCCACUUCACUCUUGACCCGAAAAUGAAUUUAGUUCACAAAAUCAGUUGGGCAGAAAAAUAGACGGGCAAGGGAAUUCAAUAGACCCUUGGACAAAAAUCCCAAUUCAGCUCGUAACUCUAAAAAUAAACAGCAAUUGAAUCAAACAAAUAUAAAAAAUCCAAAUAAACUAAUCAAAAAGUAAAAAACAAAUGGCAAUUAACCCCUGAUUUAACAUAAAAGGAACACAUGCAACAUGAUUUUAAGAACACAGAAAGGAAGGAGUAGAGGAAGAUAAUAAUAAAAGAAGGAAAACAUGGAAAAGAUAAAACAAGGAAUACUUACUAGUGGACCACCGUCUCAAAAUAAGCUUCAAUGAAUCUUCGGAUUUGUGGCCGAAAUAAACUUAAUCCUGGGUUCUCGACUGAGGACACACAAGUAAAACUGAAUUCGUCCUCAAACCUUCAAACAACUAAUGAUUUGGAUUUUUUGCGAUUUUAGGUUUUAGGAUUUUGAUUCCAGAUUC
RNAcentral lists this long non-coding RNA (2419 nucleotides) under Nicotiana benthamiana. RNAcentral describes it as "long non-coding RNA (NBEN_LNC015611)". Lineage: Eukaryota; Viridiplantae; Streptophyta; Magnoliopsida; Solanales; Solanaceae. The record is from RNAcentral.